RNAcentral lists this long non-coding RNA (2480 nucleotides) under Daucus carota (carrot). RNAcentral describes it as "long non-coding RNA (DCAR_LNC005759)". The record is from RNAcentral. Lineage: Eukaryota; Viridiplantae; Streptophyta; Magnoliopsida; Apiales; Apiaceae.
GGGUGUUGCUAAAUACAGUUCAAUUUUACUUUGUGCAGUUCGUGGAGAUUACAGAUAUAACCCUUGGCUUAUUGAAUGUGGGCGACUGUAAUAAAUAGGUUUUGGUGAUUACAAUGUGUUUACCGGGUGACAUAAAGACUGUGCUACAACACUACUCCGUAAACUUUAAACUUGAAACAAUUUUUUAUUAUAUAAUUUUAAAUUUUAAAAUGUUUAAAUUUUAUUUCUUAAACAUGCAUUCUUUUCAAAAAUAUAUUAUAAGAUAUAAUUAUCACGUUUUCAAUAAUCUAUUAGUUUGGGAUAUUUGAUAUUAUGAAUUUAUAAAAUUAUUGACUAUUAAAGGAUCAUUCAUUUUUAUUAAUUUUUAAAUGUAUUUAAAAUUUUGUACAAAGAGUAAUUUUUAAUCACAAGAAAAAUAAUAAAAGUUACAAAGAAAUUAUUAAAAAAAUACUUUCAUAAUAUAUGGUCAUCUUUAUUUUUGGAUGAAUUAAUAUAUAUAANCCGCGUAGGCAUUAUUACCACUCCAGCAUCCAGCAUUUCAUUUUCAUAAUAGUCCAAAGUACAAUUAUGGAUUUUCUCGUAGUCUUAAGGAAUCUAUAUUAAAUAACCAGAAAGCCAAAUUUGUGGUAUUCAUAUAGUACAGAGUUAUGUUGGCAGUGGAGAUUAAUUUGCACUUAAAUGGACCUCAGUUUCAGAUGUUCAAAAUUUUGAAAAGAACAAUCUAAAUUACCAAGAGAAACGGCAAGUGCCAGAACUUGAAACAUACUCGCAAACACUGAAGCAAUGGUGAAGUCUACUAGCAGGACUACAAUGAGUUUAAGUUUAUAACCGAAUCAACAUUCGAAGUUCAAACUAUAAUAACAAAUCAGGGCCUACAUUGUCUCUCUCAAUCAGUCUUCAAUCUUUAUACACCAAAACAGUAAGGGCCCUAAAAUUGCGAAAACUCGAAAAAAAACGAACCUGGCAUAAGGGCAUUCUCAGAAAAGUAAGUAGACUUGGCGAGAACAGGCAACAACAAGAGGGCCAAAACCCCUGUUACACAGCACACAAUACUGAAACACCCCAACAAAACAAUUAAUUGUUACUCAUUGUCAUCAAAUCCCAUUAAAAGAACAAGAAGUAUACAAAAGAGUUCAAGUCACAACAAGAAUGAUGUGCGAAAGAGAGUACCUGACAAGGGUGCUGUGAGAGAUGAUGAACAAUCCAAUACGGAUAAUUGGGCGUGGUUUCACUCUGCCUGCAACCGUUUCCGCCAUUACAAGUUCAGAUUUCAACUCAGGCGAAGUAUGUUGAUCUGAAUCAACGCUAAACUCUAAAGUCUAAACCCCCAAUUUGUUUUUUAGUUUUAAGAUUACUGGUAUUUGUAAUUGUAACUUGUAAUCGUAUAAGUUAGCACAAGGACUUUUAUCAUUUUAAUUUAAUUACAGAAAUAGAGAUAAGCUGAAUUAUAUCAAUAGUAUGCAGAUUUUAUAGGGUGUUGCUAAAUACAGUUCAAUUUUACUUUGUGCAGUUCGUGGAGAUUACAGAUAUAACCCUUGGCUUAUUGAAUGUGGGCGACUGUAAUAAAUAGGUUUUGGUGAUUACAAUGUGUUUACCGGGUGACAUAAAGACUGUGCUACAACACUACUCCGUAAACUUUAAACUUGAAACAAUUUUUUAUUAUAUAAUUUUAAAUUUUAAAAUGUUUAAAUUUUAUUUCUUAAACAUGCAUUCUUUUCAAAAAUAUAUUAUAAGAUAUAAUUAUCACGUUUUCAAUAAUCUAUUAGUUUGGGAUAUUUGAUAUUAUGAAUUUAUAAAAUUAUUGACUAUUAAAGGAUCAUUCAUUUUUAUUAAUUUUUAAAUGUAUUUAAAAUUUUGUACAAAGAGUAAUUUUUAAUCACAAGAAAAAUAAUAAAAGUUACAAAGAAAUUAUUAAAAAAAUACUUUCAUAAUAUAUGGUCAUCUUUAUUUUUGGAUGAAUUAAUAUAUAUAAAUAUAUAUAUAUAUAUAUAUAUAUAGAGUUAAGUUCCAUGGAGCACAUAAAAACAUUGGAGUAUUGGAGUACAAAUCAUAAUUUUUUAGUUUGAUCCUAUAUAAUAUCUUUGAUUAUCCAAAUUUUGAUAUAAUCAAUCAUUUAUAAGUUGUCCUGCACAUAAUUGUCAAUUAAUCAUUAAUAUCUUUCAACUUUAACAAGUAUUAAGAUUAUUGUUCUGCUUAUUAGUUAUAUUGCAGAAUAUAGAGUCCUAUGAUUUAUAAAAGUAAUUAUUCUACCAUUUGAUCACGAUGUUUAUGUUGCAGAACAUAAUGUGCAGGUUGUCAAAUAUUUACAAAUAUUAUUGGACAAAAAAAAUUGAAAUUUAGAUGACUAGAUUACAUUUUAUCAAACUUUGUACUCCAAUACUCCACUUUUUUUUGUACUCCAUAGAACUUAACUCUAUAUAUAUAUAUAUAUGGUGCACUAUAACACAUACACAUUUUCUCUAACCAAGGUCUAAUUACCN